Molecule: transfer RNA, 364 nt
Filed under: uncultured Chromatiales bacterium
Lineage: Bacteria; Pseudomonadati; Pseudomonadota; Gammaproteobacteria; Chromatiales
Description: partial 16S-23S ribosomal RNA intergenic spacer
Rfam family: tRNA (bases 85-158)
Source: RNAcentral
CCUCCUUAUACGAUUUAGAACUUAUUUGUUCGUAGUGUCCACACAGAUGAUUGUUAAUUGUAAAGAGAACAACACUUAUUGUUUGGGUCUGUAGCUCAGUUGGUUAGAGCGCACCCCUGAUAAGGGUGAGGUCGGUGGUUCAAAUCCACCCAGACCCACCACUUCUUCUUAAUCUUAUCAAUAAGAUUAAAACGAAGUCGGAUAACAAACAAUAAGACCAGCAUAUGUGGGGCUAUAGCUCAGCUGGGUGAGCGCCUGCCUUGCACGCAGGAGGUCAGCAGUUCGAUCCUGCUUAAGUCCACCACUUUACUUCUUUAAAAAUAAUUUUUCUUUUAUCGGGGAGCAACAUCGCCUGAGAAAAGAU